GAGAUGCCCCAGUUGGGGUAGGAAUCGGCCAUUUGCAUUUGGUUGCAUCUUCUCUCACUCUCUGCUUCAUCAUCCUCUAUCAUCGAAAUGGUUUGUGUGGCGUUGGCACUAUGUCAGUUCGCCACCAGCAUUGAAGGUGCUGCAUAGACCACCACAUGAUCCGAGGGACGAGGGCUGAACUGGUACCAUGAUAUGUUUACACGUGCCCUUUACAAACAUCCGAAGGGGCUGCCUCUUACGGAUAUACAACAGUGGUGCAUUUAGCAUAAUCCUUUUGUCAUCCGGGCCCACAGAUGGAUUGAUGGCAACUUUGAAUCAACGGAUACUAUAAGAAAGAAUUCUGAAAGAUUUCUUCCUUAUUUGUUCGAUGGAGUCUGCCUGAUUUGCCAGACGGAUACUUGUACGAAUUUCACCUGAUUGCGUACUUUCUAUUUUUAGACGGAUUCUUUUGAUUUGGUGAAUAUAUUUCACCUAAUUUCCUAAAU
Molecule: long non-coding RNA, 485 nt
Organism: Ostrea edulis (European flat oyster)
Lineage: Eukaryota; Metazoa; Mollusca; Bivalvia; Ostreida; Ostreidae
Exons: 4
Source: RefSeq, a predicted model, not a curated record